CCUACGGGAGGCAGCAGUGGGGAAUAUUGCACAAUGGGCGCAAGCCUGAUGCAGCCAUGCCGCGUGUGUGAAGAAGGCCUUCGGGUUGUAAAGCACUUUCAGCGGGGAGGAAGGCGUUAAGGUUAAUAACCUUGUCGAUUGACGUUACCCGCAGAAGAAGCACCGGCUAACUCCGUGCCAGCAGCCGCGGUAAUACGGAGGGUGCAAGCGUUAAUCGGAAUUACUGGGCGUAAAGCGCACGCAGGCGGUCUGUCAAGUCGGAUGUGAAAUCCCCGGGCUCAACCUGGGAACUGCAUUCGAAACUGGCAGGCUAGAGUCUUGUAGAGGGGGGUAGAAUUCCAGGUGUAGCAGUGAAAUGCGUAGAGAUCUGGAGGAAUACCGGUGGCGAAGGCGGCCCCCUGGACAAAGACUGACGCUCAGGUGCGAAAGCGUGGGGAGCAAACAGGAUUAGAUACCCGUGUAGUC
RNAcentral lists this ribosomal RNA (465 nucleotides) under uncultured Klebsiella sp. RNAcentral's name for it is "bacterial SSU rRNA". It matches the Rfam family "Bacterial small subunit ribosomal RNA", at positions 338 to 795 of the family's 1533-position model. The record is from RNAcentral. Lineage: Bacteria; Pseudomonadati; Pseudomonadota; Gammaproteobacteria; Enterobacterales; Enterobacteriaceae.